This 369-nucleotide ribosomal RNA is filed under the name uncultured bacterium. RNAcentral describes it as "bacterial SSU rRNA". It matches the Rfam family "Bacterial small subunit ribosomal RNA", at positions 975 to 1342 of the family's 1533-position model. The record is from RNAcentral.
CAGACCUUGACAUACCAAUCGCGGUUUCCGGAGACGGAUUCCUUCAGUUCGGCUGGAUUGGAUACAGGUGCUGCAUGGCUGUCGUCAGCUCGUGUCGUGAGAUGUUGGGUUAAGUCCCGCAACGAGCGCAACCCUCGCCUUUAGUUGCCAGCAUUCAGUUGGGCACUCUAAAGGGACUGCCGGUGAUAAGCCGGAGGAAGGUGGGGAUGACGUCAAGUCCUCAUGGCCCUUACGGUCUGGGCUACACACGUGCUACAAUGGUGGUGACAGAGGGCAGCGACUUCGCGAGGAGGAGCUAAUCCCUAAAAGCCAUCUCAGUUCGGAUUGUUCUCUGCAACUCGAGAGCAUGAAGUUGGAAUCGCUAGUAAU